This is an RNA transcript of Zingiber officinale, 1638 nucleotides long. RefSeq lists it as uncharacterized. The transcript is spliced from 5 exons. NCBI's taxonomy places the organism in Eukaryota, Viridiplantae, Streptophyta, Magnoliopsida, Zingiberales, Zingiberaceae. The record is from RefSeq and is a predicted model, not a curated record.
GAUUUUGCAGAAUAGGGCGAUUCGAUGGCACCGACUUCAUACUGCCGCGUCCUGCCGCGCCGCGCAAUGGCGAGAAGAUCUGCAACCGACCAACCGACCACGAAACAAUCGGAAUAAAAAGGAAAAAAAAAUGAAGUUUGAUCGAAGAAGGGGAACGAUAUCAGAAUCCGGAGGUGGCAAGCUGAGGGAUUAGAGGAGGAUAAAGAGUCAAGCAUGGAAGGAAUCGAGCAAAUCGAAUUCUCCUCCUCCAUCAAAGGAGAAACAUCGCAGGAUGGCGGGUGGUGCUCUCUUUCUGAUUCUGUCCUGGUCAAUGCAAGCCGAGAAGGUCUAGAAACAACCCCUUUUUCUCCCCAACCGCUCUUCCUUCCCCAUCCUCCCUUCUCUAUUUCUACCUUUCUCGUCUUUAUCGCCUCUUCUUUGCCAAUCAAUUCAAUUCCUUCUUCUUUGCUGCUUGUUUCCUUUUUUCUUGGUCCUGUGGGUGGAGGUCAGGAUGACGGUGAAGAAGACGAGGAGGGUUGCCGAGGAGCCCUCGCCAUCCCCUUCGUGCGCCCCUUAUAGAGAUGAUGCUAGGAAAAGAAUUAGAUUCCAAUCGCUCUCGCAAGAUUAUACGGAUUUUCUUGAGGAAACUGAAGAAAAGAAGAGGAGAUUGCUGGAGGCAAGACUAAGGAAACGUAAACUCUUGGCUGAAGUCCGAUUUUUGAGAAGAAAACUUGAUACCUCACUUGCAAACCCGUAUCAGCAAGUUAGAUUGAAGGACCCAUCAAGUACAAUUCCAGUGAUCAAACCUCCUACAGAAAAGAAACUCAAAGUAUCUGGAGCUGCACGUACAAGUAACUACAUUAUAGAUAACUUGUACGCAAAUGCAUCUCAGUAUCAGUUUAAAAAGAUGUUUCAGAAAAAGCCAACCAAAUCUCUUUGUGUUGCACAAUCUUCGGGUUUUAGGAAGGCCACCAUCAAAACAUGAUGACAAUGGAAGUUACAAAUGCUAGCACUUCUGCAACUCUAGGUGCGAAUGAAGUAUCGUUUAAGAAUGGGGAGGAACUGAACAAGUUUCAGUUGGAGCAGUAUUACAUACAAAUGGAGAGACUCAAUGGAGUGCCUAUGAUUGGAGGAGGCUCAAAUGAUAAGUUAGCGAGUUGCAGACAUCUUGGAAACAACUCAAAGAAGAGCGGUAAGAGAAAACUCUCAUGGCGAGACCCACCGACCGAAUAAAUCGGGAAGCAAUUACGGCAGACAGCAAAGGACCUUCAGCUUCUAGCAAGACUUGUUCCACCUGAUUAAUUUUUGGGUGUCAUCAGAUAUUGUCAUGGUCCUUCCUUCAAUUUAUUUCAAUGCAAGGAACAUGCUUGAUCUUGUGAUAAUCUUCUCCAGUAUCCUUGUUGACCCUUCUCUCUAUCAUUUCCAUUCCCCUUAUUUCAAUUUGUUUAAGCUCAGUCAAUCUUACAAGUCCCUCUGGUAGCAUUCUCAAAUUUAUGCAGUCCCAAAGUCUUAGUUCCCGAAGGAGAGGCAUUGCUCCCUCUCCCACUUCCCACUGCUCCAAGGUGUUCAAAUCACCCAGUAUGAUCUCUUGGAGACGAGGAAAACCUCCCUUUUGAAACACCAAAACUCUUCCUACAAAUGCAUCAAGACACACAAGAA